Tachyglossus aculeatus (Australian echidna) is the source of this 305-nucleotide long non-coding RNA. RefSeq lists it as uncharacterized. The record is from RefSeq and is a predicted model, not a curated record. The transcript has 3 exons. Lineage: Eukaryota; Metazoa; Chordata; Mammalia; Monotremata; Tachyglossidae.
GAGCCGGAGGAAAGCCCGGGAGGGGAGGACACCGGAGCGGCGCUGCGCUCAGCGGCUAGGUGAGGGUGCAAGCCCGGCCGGCCGGCCGGUCCGCCAGAACAUCUCUGAAGUCCUCACUGAAAGCAGAGCACCAACCCUUGCUGUGUUUCCUGAUUGACCCCAGAGCAGUCUAAGGCUGGUUACUGGUUCAUCACAUCUCUUCUAGCGACUGAAUAAACUCCGCAAUUUGUUCUGAUUUUGCUGGACAGGAUGGAAAAUUGGUAAACCAGAGACCUAUCUCCUGAACCACUUCUCAGAUUCUACAG